RNAcentral lists this ribosomal RNA (1679 nucleotides) under Escherichia coli. RNAcentral describes it as "partial 23S ribosomal RNA". It matches the Rfam family "Bacterial large subunit ribosomal RNA", at positions 1259 to 2915 of the family's 2925-position model. The record is from RNAcentral. Lineage: Bacteria; Pseudomonadati; Pseudomonadota; Gammaproteobacteria; Enterobacterales; Enterobacteriaceae.
GCCUGUGAGGGUUGCUGGAGGUAUCAGAAGUGCGAAUGCUGACAUAAGUAACGAUAAAGCGGGUGAAAAGCCCGCUCGCCGGAAGACCAAGGGUUCCUGUCCAACGUUAAUCGGGGCAGGGUGAGUCGACCCCUAAGGCGAGGCCGAAAGGCGUAGUCGAUGGGAAACAGGUUAAUAUUCCUGUACUUGGUGUUACUGCGAAGGGGGGACGGAGAAGGCUAUGUUGGCCGGGCGACGGUUGUCCCGGUUUAAGCGUGUAGGCUGGUUUUCCAGGCAAAUCCGGAAAACCAAGGCUGAGGCGUGAUGACGAGGCACUACGGUGCUGAAGCGACAAAUGCCCUGCUUCCAGGAAAAGCCUCUAAGCAUCAGGUAACAUCAAAUCGUACCCCAAACCGACACAGGUGGUCAGGUAGAGAAUACCAAGGCGCUUGAGAGAACUCGGGUGAAGGAACUAGGCAAAAUGGUGCCGUAACUUCGGGAGAAGGCACGCUGAUAUGUAGGUGAAGCGACUUGCUCGUGGAGCUGAAAUCAGUCGAAGAUACCAGCUGGCUGCAACUGUUUAUUAAAAACACAGCACUGUGCAAACACGAAAGUGGACGUAUACGGUGUGACGCCUGCCCGGUGCCGGAAGGUUAAUUGAUGGGGUUAGCGGUAACGCGAAGCUCUUGAUCGAAGCCCCGGUAAACGGCGGCCGUAACUAUAACGGUCCUAAGGUAGCGAAAUUCCUUGUCGGGUAAGUUCCGACCUGCACGAAUGGCGUAAUGAUGGCCAGGCUGUCUCCACCCGAGACUCAGUGAAAUUGAACUCGCUGUGAAGAUGCAGUGUACCCGCGGCAAGACGGAAAGACCCCGUGAACCUUUACUAUAGCUUGACACUGAACAUUGAGCCUUGAUGUGUAGGAUAGGUGGGAGGCUUUGAAGUGUGGACGCCAGUCUGCAUGGAGCCGACCUUGAAAUACCACCCUUUAAUGUUUGAUGUUCUAACGUUGGCCCGUAAUCCGGGUUGCGGACAGUGUCUGGUGGGUAGUUUGACUGGGGCGGUCUCCUCCUAAAGAGUAACGGAGGAGCACGAAGGUUGGCUAAUCCUGGUCGGACAUCAGGAGGUUAGUGCAAUGGCAUAAGCCAGCUUGACUGCGAGCGUGACGGCGCGAGCAGGUGCGAAAGCAGGUCAUAGUGAUCCGGUGGUUCUGAAUGGAAGGGCCAUCGCUCAACGGAUAAAAGGUACUCCGGGGAUAACAGGCUGAUACCGCCCAAGAGUUCAUAUCGACGGCGGUGUUUGGCACCUCGAUGUCGGCUCAUCACAUCCUGGGGCUGAAGUAGGUCCCAAGGGUAUGGCUGUUCGCCAUUUAAAGUGGUACGCGAGCUGGGUUUAGAACGUCGUGAGACAGUUCGGUCCCUAUCUGCCGUGGGCGCUGGAGAACUGAGGGGGGCUGCUCCUAGUACGAGAGGACCGGAGUGGACGCAUCACUGGUGUUCGGGUUGUCAUGCCAAUGGCACUGCCCGGUAGCUAAAUGCGGAAGAGAUAAGUGCUGAAAGCAUCUAAGCACGAAACUUGCCCCGAGAUGAGUUCUCCCUGACUCCUUGAGAGUCCUGAAGGAACGUUGAAGACGACGACGUUGAUAGGCCGGGUGUGUAAGCGCAGCGAUGCGUUGAGCUAACCGGUACUAAUGAACCGUGAGG